UGGGGCCCUGGCGGAUGCCUAGACAUGCAAGUCGAACGAGAAGGCCUAUGGAAAAAAGAGUGCUUGCACAAAUUUGGAAAUAGUUUCCUUCUAGUGGCGCAAGGGUGAGUAACACGUGGGUUAUCUGCCUCGGAGACUGGGAUAACGUUUGGAAACGAACGCUAAUACCGGAUGAUAUAUAAAGAGAUACGUUUCUUUAUAUUAAAAGGAGCCUUUAAAGCCUCACUUCGAGAUGAGCCUGCGGCGUAUUAGUUAGUUGGUGGGGUAAUGGCCUACCAAGACGACGAUGCGUAGCCGACCUGAGAGGGUGAACGGCCACACUGGGACUGAGACACGGCCCAGACUCCUACGGGAGACAGCAGUUAGGAAUAUUCGUCAAUGGGGGAAACCCUGAACGAGCAAUGCCGCGUGAAUGAUGACGGUCCUAUGGAUUGUAAAAUUCUGUUGUUAGGGAAGAACGACCUGUAUAGGAAAUGAUACAGGAGUGACGGUACCUUUCAAGAAAGCUCCGGCUAACUACGUGCCAGCAGCCGCGGUAAUACGUAGGGAGCGAGCGUUAUCCGGAUUUAUUGGGUGUAAAGCGUGUGUAGGCGGAAAUAUAAGUCUAAGGUUUAAGCCCGGAGCUCAACUCCGGUUCGCCUUAGAAACUGUAUUUCUUGAGUAUGGUAGAGGCAAGUGGAAUUUCUAGUGUAGCGGUAAAAUGCGUAGAUAUUAGAAGGAACACCAGUGGCGAAGGCGACUUGCUGGGCCAUUACUGACGCUGAGACACGAAAGCGUGGGGAGCAAAUAGGAUUAGAUACCCUAGUAGUCCACGCCAUAAACGAUGGAUACUAAGUGUCGGGCAACCGGUGCUGAAGUUAACACAUUAAGUAUCCCACCUGAGUAGUACGGCCGCAAGGCUGAAACUCAAAGGAAUUGACGGGCACCCGCACAAGCGGUGGAGCAUGCUGUUUAAUUCGAAGAUACGCGAAAACCUUACCUGGGCUUGACAUCCCUCUGACAGUUCUAGAAAUAGAAUCUUCCUUUCGGGACAGGGGUGACAGUGGUGCAUGGUUGUCGUCAGCUCGUGUCGUGAAGAUGUUUGGUUAAGUCCAUAACGAGCGCAACCCUUAUCCUUAAUUGCUAACAUUUAGGUGGAGA
RNAcentral lists this ribosomal RNA (1140 nucleotides) under uncultured bacterium. Its description in RNAcentral is "bacterial SSU rRNA". It matches the Rfam family "Bacterial small subunit ribosomal RNA", at positions 30 to 1136 of the family's 1533-position model. The record is from RNAcentral.